RNAcentral lists this non-coding RNA (147 nucleotides) under Homo sapiens (human). Lineage: Eukaryota; Metazoa; Chordata; Mammalia; Primates; Hominidae. The record is from Rfam by way of RNAcentral.
GCUGGGCGUGGUGGUGUGCACCUGUAAUCCCAGCUACUUGGAGGCUGAGGUAAGAGAAUCACUUGAACCCAGGAGGUGGAGGUUGCAGUGAGCUCAGAUCAUGCCACUGCACUCUAGCCUGGGUGACAGAGUGAGACUCCAUCUCAA